Molecule: long non-coding RNA, 843 nt
Organism: Astyanax mexicanus (Mexican tetra)
Lineage: Eukaryota; Metazoa; Chordata; Actinopteri; Characiformes; Acestrorhamphidae
Exons: 3
Source: RefSeq, a predicted model, not a curated record
GGGAGGAAGUGGACGUUCCUGCUGAUGUUCUGUAAUCAGUGAUGUGAUUGAAGUCGUGUAGCUGACUGAUUGUCAUGGCUUGCAGAUGUUGAAGAUGGUGACCACAGAUUUGAUUGCAUUUGGAGAUGCUGAGCAUCACUGCAGCAGGACCACAUGGCUGAGUCUGGACCAGCUCUGACCAAUGGGAAUGGUGCCCCCUACUGACCUGCAGAUACUGGAGCCCUGCUGACCCCCAUCAGUUCAGAUCUGCUGGAGACAGACCCUCCACUGCACCACCUCUACACCCUGACCAAUGUUCCUCUGCUGUAACGGACACGUGGAAGAUCUGCAGGAUCCUCUCAGACCUGACAGAUACAGAUCAAUGGGGAAGAUGAGUCAGUGAAAGGAGAUCUUACCUUCGACUCAGGUCUGCUACAUGCUCCUGGAGCCAACUGGUGCUGGCAGCUGUUAAAGAGAGAGAGAGAGAGAGAGAGAGAGAGAGAGAGAGAGAGAGAAGGAGGUAGGGAAAACACAGUCAGAUAAACCUUCAUUCACAGCCCCAUCUAUUCAACCUAACAUAUAGCGCCACCUGCAGGUCUGUUACAGCGACUGACUGAGAUUAGUGUAGCCAGACAGGCCAACUGACCAGCAUAGGUGUUGAAAAAAAUAUAAUAAUCACCAUAUUUACCACAUGUACUUUUUACUGUUUUUUUAUCAAAAGAAAAAUUCACACUGUUCUCAUUUUCCAUUAUCUAUUUACUAGAGACUAGAGAUUAUAUCUGCCCAGUAUCAUUUAUUUUACUUUAAUCUUGGAUAUAUGGAGAUAUUUAAGAUAUUUGGAGUGCAUUAUUAUUAUUAUUAUUA